RNAcentral lists this ribosomal RNA (670 nucleotides) under uncultured archaeon. RNAcentral describes it as "bacterial SSU rRNA". It matches the Rfam family "Archaeal small subunit ribosomal RNA", at positions 5 to 681 of the family's 1478-position model. The record is from RNAcentral.
CGGUUGAUCCUGCCGGACCUGACUGCUAUCGGAUUGAUACUAAGCCAUGCGAGUCAUUGUAGCAAUACAAGGCAUACGGCUCAGUAACGCGUAGUCAACCUAACCUAUGGACGGGAAUAACCUCGGGAAACUGAGAAUAAUGCCCGAUAGAACACUAUACCUGGAAUGGUUUGUGUUCCAAAUGAUUUAUCGCCGUAGGAUGGGACUGCGGCCUAUCAGUUUGUUGGUGAGGUAAUGGCCCACCAAGACUAUUACAGGUACGGGCUCUGAGAGGAGUAGCCCGGAGAUGGGUACUGAGACACGGACCCAGGCCCUAUGGGGCGCAGCAGGCGAGAAAACUUUGCAAUGUGCGAAAGCACGACGAGGUUAAUCCGAGUGAUUUGUGCUAAACGAAUCUUUUGUUAGUCCUAGAACCACUAACGAAUAAGGGGUGGGCAAGUUCUGGUGUCAGCCGCCGCGGUAAAACCAGCACCUCAAGUGGUCAGGAUGAUUAUUGGGCCUAAAGCAUCCGUAGCCGGCUCUGUAAGUUUUCGGUUAAAUCGGUACGCUUAACGUACAGGCUGCCGGGAAUACUGCAGAGCUAGGGAGUGGGAGAGGUAGACGGUACCCGGUAGGAAGGGGUAAAAUCCUUUGAUCUAUUGAUGACCACCUGUGGCGAAGGCGGUCUACC